UGUAUGUGUGCGUGUGUGUUUCAGGCUUAUUAUCUGCAACAGAUUUAUUUAGGCUUAAUUUACUAGUCUCAGCCUCUUCCGUUAAUUUGAAUUACGUCUGCAUGUGUACAUGAUGGCUCUGUGAGUCGAGUAUUUACCUAACUCUUUGUACCUACUUUGUUUUUAACACAUUAGAAAAUAAUGGGAAUCUUAGCUGCCUCUUUUUUAUUUGUUUGUAAUUUGUUUUAUAACAAUCGCAUAAAAAUACAGAGCAGCCGUUGAAGGAGGGAGCGAACCGUUGGUCAGAAUCAAACGCAUGCGCUCAAAACGAACGGUUUUCUCUGCCGAAACCUUUAAAUGCUUCUGUUGAUUUAUUAUGUAACCCGUUCUUUCAGAAACAUUUUGGAUCAACGUUAUGUAUGAAUAUGCAUACUUUCCAUCAGAUUUUGGCGGAUAUGCAGAUACAUAUGGAUAUCUAGAUUCAGUAAGAUGGCGAGCGAAAAGAAAACAACUCAAGACACGUGUGACGAAGAGCAAAAAGCCCAAAAGACACAGUUGAUGAAACCUCCCCCUGGUCGCAGCAACAGGAUAGAAAGAGUUCUUCAUAGACGUAUGGAGCAAAAGCAUUCCCAGAUGUCAAGGACGGUGGGGAACGCAUCAUUUGAGUUCUUCUGUGGUACAUUUGAUGAUUUGGGAAAAGAAAAUGAAGAACAUCAACAUAAGAAG
This is a long non-coding RNA of Gadus morhua (Atlantic cod), 705 nucleotides long. RefSeq lists it as uncharacterized. Lineage: Eukaryota; Metazoa; Chordata; Actinopteri; Gadiformes; Gadidae. The record is from RefSeq and is a predicted model, not a curated record. The transcript is spliced from 3 exons.